UCCUGGUUUACCUGGGACUGAGGAGUUUCCCAGGACAUGGGACAUUCAGUGCUAUAACCAGGCAAGU
Molecule: microRNA precursor, 67 nt
Filed under: Dasypus novemcinctus (nine-banded armadillo)
Lineage: Eukaryota; Metazoa; Chordata; Mammalia; Cingulata; Dasypodidae
Description: miRNA (ENSDNOG00000030354.1)
Source: RNAcentral